UCAACAAUCGCAUCACUUCAUCUCUUCACCUGUGCGCUGAAAAAUUAGAAUAUUCUAUACUACCGCAUUCACAAUCCGUUCCUGCAGUAUUCUCUGCUAGUGCUGUGUACCCAAUGAAGAGUUGCCGCUCCCGCGAUUGGCGCUCAGCGUCGCGACGGCGCAAAACUCGACGACGCCCAGCCCGCGACGCACCUGCGCGCUUUUCAUCUCCCACCUCACAAAGCGCACACCACAAUACAACACAGCGUGAAAAUAAAGACGUGCGUUGUGCAACGAUGUGUUCCAACUAGAAGACUCAGAUUACUGUUGUGUGUUAUUACAAUUAGACGCGCGCACCCUAUGAAAAAGGGAAAUACGUCAGCACAUUGCGGCGACGCUCACCACGGGAGAAUGUCAACGAUUGUACGAUGUACGUGCCUUCUUCGCAACUUCUCAACAAACGGCAAUAAAUACCAACUUUGACCCCCCUCAUAAAUUAAAUCGACAUAACAGAUUUAUUGUGACCCGGGAGUUUGGACAGCGGGAGGAAGUGGCCGUCGAUAUAGUAUAAUCUACGAGUAUUCCAGGAUUUUCCGGAAAUUAAGACAAUCCACCCCAUAGCAUCCAGAACUUCGUAAACCAGGUUUGAUUCAUUUUCAUCUUCUUUUCUUAUUCUUAUUCUUUGUGUCUCGAUAUUAUUUUAUUUUCACAACGCGUAAAAUUAAUUUGUUUACUUCUUUUGCGGUACAUGAAACAAAACCCAAACAAACAAUUGAUUAAUUCAUCGAUACUUUAAUAAUGCAACGCAUGCAUAAUAAUCUUUGGCGGCGAGUUGAAAGUGAAGCCAAAUACAAAUAUUUGCGAAUAAAUUUCUUGCUCGGCGCCAAUCGGAUUGUCGUUACUCAUUAGAUUAUAAAAU
Molecule: long non-coding RNA, 898 nt
Organism: Dalotia coriaria
Lineage: Eukaryota; Metazoa; Arthropoda; Insecta; Coleoptera; Staphylinidae
Exons: 4
Source: RefSeq, a predicted model, not a curated record